RNAcentral lists this ribosomal RNA (486 nucleotides) under uncultured bacterium. RNAcentral describes it as "partial 16S ribosomal RNA". It matches the Rfam family "Bacterial small subunit ribosomal RNA", at positions 30 to 507 of the family's 1533-position model. The record is from RNAcentral.
AUUGAACGCUGGCGGCAUGCCUUACACAUGCAAGUCGAACGGCAGCACGGGUGCUUGCACCUGGUGGCGAGUGGCGAACGGGUGAGUAAUACAUCGGAACAUGUCCUGUAGUGGGGGAUAGCCCGGCGAAAGCCGGAUUAAUACCGCAUACGAUCCACGGAUGAAAGCGGGGGACCUUCGGGCCUCGCGCUAUAGGGUUGGCCGAUGGCUGAUUAGCUAGUUGGCGGGGUAAAGGCCUACCAAGGCGACGAUCAGUAGCUGGUCUGAGAGGACGACCAGCCACACUGGGACUGAGACACGGCCCAGACUCCUACGGGAGGCAGCAGUGGGGAAUUUUGGACAAUGGGCGAAAGCCUGAUCCAGCAAUGCCGCGUGUGUGAAGAAGGCCUUCGGGUUGUAAAGCACUUUUGUCCGGAAAGAAAUCCUUGACUCUAAUACAGUCGGGGGAUGACGGUACCGGAAGAAUAAGCACCGGCUAACUACGUG